This 6142-nucleotide long non-coding RNA is filed under the name Nicotiana tabacum (common tobacco). Its description in RNAcentral is "long non-coding RNA (NTAB_LNC015286)". The record is from RNAcentral. Lineage: Eukaryota; Viridiplantae; Streptophyta; Magnoliopsida; Solanales; Solanaceae.
UAAACGUUGCUAGUUCAUUUUUUAUUAUAUACAUUAUGUCAUAGUUAAAUUUUCAAAAUACAACUAGAUCCAAUGACCACCCCAACAUACAUACAUGACCCACAUAAACGUCUACGGAGCCUCUAAGGGUACAAAAGAGCAACAUGACAAUGCCGGCAACAAAGCCCCGGCUAUACCUCAAAAUACAAAAACUUAUACAAAAGGACUACAUGGCCCCAAGAAGAAAUGGGGCUCACCAAGACUGCUGUGAUGAGUGUCAAGGAGAGCACCACUAUCUACGAUCAGCACUGUCUGCGAUGGAACCACCUACAUCCAUUCAAAUAUGUAGCGCCCCCGGCAAAAGGGACGUUAGUACUGUCGAAUAGUACUAGUAUGUAAGGCAAACAUCAAUCUCAGUAGAAUGAACAGUGAAACAAAGAUAAGGCAGUCACAACAAUCAAUAAGUACUUCACAGAAAUAUAAAGAAACACCAAGUAAGGAUCACAUAAUUUCCAAUUCAAUCUUUCCAUCUUUUAGGUUAAUAAUCUUUAGUGCCAAAGCCACAACUCAUAAUGCCACCGUGUUUUUAUACGGAGUCCGGUCUCGGCCCGACCGGCUAAGCCAUCCCAAGUGAGACAUAUCCAUACCCACAAUGUAAAUCAAUAGUUCCAACACAAAUGCCACCAUGUGUGCGGCAUGGCAUCCGAUCUCGGACCGAUCGGCUAAGCCAUCUCACUUGAGACAUAACCUCUUUUAAUUGUUCACUCAAUUCACAUCUCUUUCCCAUCUUUCAUUACAUGGCACAAACAGCCUCAUUUAUUAAAUAGUUCUUGGCACUUGGGCACAUUUUACAAUUCAAGUCUUUCCCUUUUUAUUCGUUCAAAUAACGUCAUCAUUCAUGUCGAUAAAUACCAUCACAUAAGACAUUUUACACAUAAGGGAAGGAGCUCAGAAAAUCAUAGUUACGUUUUCAAAUAGCAUGAUGACAUGUUAAACAUCUAAAACAAUUAGGGAACAUGAAUCUUCCAACCCAACACACUAAGGCAAACAAUUCUAGUAUGAUCAAGUCGGAACUUACACCAAAUAUUCGGACACCAGGAAUUCGAUUCUAGGAAGAAAAGAGUUAGCCAUACAUACCUCAAUUGCGCUUCUUUAGACUCUACAAUUAUCCAGAACCCUUAGCAACCUCAAUCUACUUUUGCAAUAUACAAAUUGAACCUAAAAUUAGGAAAAUGUUCAUAGUUCUAGUUCACUUUUUAUUUUCCCCACACUCUUUAUCACAUGCAUGCAAGAUGAAUCACUCUCAUACCCAUGAAGCAUUACCCUAGUACCCCAUUAUAGCUAUGUUUGAAAUUAAGAGCUGGGGUGAUGAAAUAUUACCCUUUUGGAUGAAGAAUUUGGUACUCUACUUGAAUAUUUCCAAACCUUGAGUGAUGGUUGAAGAUUAAUUAAUGGUAAUUAGAUCCUCCCUCUAGAACCCUCUCUAUCUCACACUAGAAAUAUCAGAAAUGAGCUUCAAAAUAGACUAAAUGGGUGUUUUAACGGAAUGGGGGUCGGGUUUUAAAUUAAGAAAAAUGGUGCCCCGACACAGGUCUGCGGUCGCAUAUGCGACCGCAUAAUGGUUAUGCGGUCCGCAAAGUGACCGCAUAAAUGGACCUCAGGGGGGCUGAACUUACGGCCCAGGUAUGCGACCAGUAUGCAGUCCGCAUACUCAUUCUGCAGUCGGAUAAUGCACCGCAGAACUCCCUCCACAAAAACUCAAGAGGGAUUAUACAAUCGAUAUGCGGUCGCAUAAUCGACCGCAAAACUGACCUCAAGUUGGCCAAACUUACUGCUUCACUCUGCGUCCAUUAUGCGUUCCGCAGAGUGAUUAUGUAGCCGUAUAAUGGGCCGCAGAAAUGCGUUCUUCUACUAAUAUAACGCAGGGAUCUACCUUGGCACCAUGAAAUCCCAAGUUUUUGGUUUAAAUUUUUACGGGUCCUUACAAUAGUGUCCAUUGGGAUUGUAGAAAUCCCGGCGGACUUUAGACAAGGUUUAUCUUAGCGGGUUAUUACGUUGAUAAUGCUCCAGCCCAUACUAGGUUUAGCAUGAUGCAUGUACAUUUCAAGUUGGAGUAGGGUUUCUAGAAUGUUCUAGACUGGUAUUCCUAAGGGAACAACUUGAGAGGGAAAGGCACGGGACUGUCGAUUGCACCGCUGAUCGACUAGUCUACCGCAAAUAAGCCUUUCCAAUUUUAAAAGGGUAAUAUUUGGAAGAGUGCGGACGCUCAUCAAGCGCCGCUAUGUUGAUAAUUGGCACGAGUGGAGUAUGAUGUGGAGCAUGCUUUAUGUAGAGAUAAUAACACAUUGCCAAAUAUUUGCAUGAUAGAAAGCAGAAAAUAGGAUAGCAAAAGUAAACAUGGAAAGAGUAGAGAAGAAAGACAAAAGGAAGAAGUCAGUUUAGUUCAUAAAAUUAUAUGCGGGAAUGUAAUAAAGCAGGAAGUAAGGAUGGGAAUGACAUGAUAUAGCAGUUUUAGACAAGAUGAAAAGAGAUGAAGAGUGGUUAUAAAGGUGAAUGGGGAAGGGUUGUGCAUGUCAUAGCAGAUUUAAACAGAUAAAGGCGAAUAGGAGAAGAGAUGUGCAUGUCAUAGAAAAUUCAAGCAAAUAAAGGUGAAUAAGGGAAGGGAUGUUCAUGUAGCAGCAGUUUUAGAACAAAAAAAGAAAAAGAGAGUAAUCCACAUAAGUCAAGUUCAUUAUCGAAAGCGGGCCUCGACGUGUGACAACUCUUUUAAAUGAGGUAUUAAAAGAGAAUAGUCUCCACCUAACGGUUUUUAAGGUGCAUUAGGGCACCUAUUUGCAAAUAACAAUAUUUUAACUAGUCUGUGUCACCAAAGAUGCUCGAAUUACCUCAAAGAGAAGGUGUUAGGCACUCUUCGAGGUCCACAACUGUGGGUCCCGGCCAAACUUCAAACUAUGUGGAUUACGUGAUUAGGCUAGAUAAUAAAAUAAACAAAGGAAGGUAUAGAAGUCGAAGAGUCUUAUCAUAACACAUUGAAAAUUGGUACAAAUCCUAAAUGAUUACAAAUGCAUUGGUCUAUGUUAAAUGACUAAAUGUAAAUGUCAAAUAUAUGAAGGAAAUGGGGGUUCCUAAGAUUUUUAGCCUUCAUCCCGUGCAACAUGAAUAAUACUUUGCAACUUCCUUUAGGUAGGGGUUGCUCAUAUUAUUCAGCGGGCAUAGACUAUCAUCUCCUGCUACCCAUUUACUAUGUUGAAGUUGUUUACUUAAAAGCAUUCUAAUUCAGUUCUAAGUCGUACCCUACGCGUGCGCUACCCGUCCCAUGCCUAUGGUCCAGGAGGCUUUGGACCUACUAUUUGGGUGGUUCUAGACUUUACUUAGGUUGCUCAAAAAAUGAUAAAACUAAGCGACAUUCAAAUCAGAUAGGACUUAACGUAAAAAUAAUUAAAGGCCUAAGUUAGCCUCCACAAAUAAGCAACAAAUACAUGCGGACAUAUUUCACAUUAUGCAAUAGGCAGUUUCAGAAUCGAGGUGUUGCUUGAAACCUAUAGGCAUAUUUUCUAGGUGGGCAAAGUAAUAAGACAACGGAAGUAGUCGACUGGUUAAUCAAUUAAAGCCCUAUAGACAUAGUAUCUAGAUGAGGAUUAGCAUGGCAUAUAUUAAUACAAUCCUAUAGGCAUGCUAUCAAAUAAGCACACUGCAGUUGCAAAAAUUGAGUGAAUAGUUGUUGAUGCUUGAUUCCUAUAGGCAUUCUAUCUAAUAUCGCAUAGCAGUAGACAUGUGAACAAGUAAAGCACUUAAACUCCCGCUUCUGAUAAUGUGGGCAUUAGACAAAUCGAGUAGGUGAAGUGUUUGAAUCCCUAUAGACAUGAUCUCUAUUAGUGUAUAGAAAUAGGCACAUCGAACAAAGUAGCAAACAAACAUGUAGAGCCUGUAAGCAUGUUAUCUACCCAUUCAUGUGAGAAUUAAAGUACCCUAUCCCCCAUUUUUUACUAAUUCCCCAAUUGUUUAGUUUACAAAUUAUUACAAAACCGGAUAAUGAAUACACCUACAGACAUUACAUAAAGAAUAAAUACAGGCCUAGAAAUAGACCCAAACAAAACAACCCAAUACUAGAUGGGCCUUCAACAAUCCUCACUCAUCACAUGACUAGCAGGCCCAAGCCCCAAGCUUAGCAGAACAAUAGAAAAUGCCUGAAUUUAGCACAUAGGUCCAACAACAUGUAUGGACCAAUACUAUGCCCAAGAUGCAUGACUUACCUACCGAUGCCAGACUUAACCAUGCAAGUGACAACUACUCAGGGAAUUCAUUAAACACCUUUUCACACUUAAUUCUGAAAGCUGUAAGUAACAAACAGUUCUAACCAAAACAUAUAAGGAGGAUCACAUGAAACUUUGGAAAAUAUAGAAAACAUAUAUAAAAUGGGCCCAUGCUAGGUUUUAAAGUGACAGGAUUGAACAUCAUAAGCUAACAAACUACUUCAAAUAUAAUUUUAAAACGAAGCAUAUUCCAGAAUUAGCCCAAAGGAUUUCAGACAAUCAACAUGAGAAUCUAGCAAAUUCAUAGACAAGAACAAAUGAGAGGCAGUUUUCAUAUGAAGGUUUUAACAUGAGAGCCUGAUGAGAGUAUGGUCAUCAACAACAUAGCAAUAGGCUAAUGGGCAUAGUUAAGAACUGUUGGUAGCAUAUCACUUAGUUAAAUAUGAGACCUAACAUGAUGGGCAUUACUAUAGCACAAAGACUCUAAAGAACUCAUGGUAGGUAAAAGAACAUGUCAAUUAUAGAUCAACAGGACAAACAAACAUUAGGAUUCAUAUCAGUCGAUCCCACAUGAGAGAAAACUACACAUUGACAUUAAUCCUAGAAGCAAUGCUAAAAGUGCAGGAUUGACAGAUCAAAGAACAUAAAUACUAUAGUUACGAAUUGUAAAUAAACAAGUUUGGUUAUAUAGAGAAAUAGUGCUAUAACAUAUGAGAAUCAGGAAUCAGUUGGUAGGAAAUAAUAGAUUAUUCUUAAAGGGUUCAAGAGGAAGAUAUUCCUUAAAGCAGAAUCUGAGCAAACAUGACACUAAGGCACAAGUAUGAACUUAUAACAAGCCCAGAACAUGACAUUAAGGCAUAAUUGUGAGCACAAAACAUUACAUUCAGGCUAGUAUGAACAUGGUCAGUAAGGUAAAACUUAAGAGGGCCAGAAACUAUUCUAAUCAAAAAUGCAGAGUGAAAGUCUACUACGCAUGUUAAAACCAUUCAAGUUCGAUACUAGAGGUCAUGUAACUAACAGAACAUCAUUGAGAUAGUAGAUUUAUAGAAAAGCACACAAUAAUAUAAUACUGCAAGUUCAUAAAUAACAGAGAAACCUAAGGCAUGUUUGUCUAAAAGUUCAACCAAUAUUUGCAUAUCAAGUACACACAUAAGCAAGUAAAGGAAUAACGAUGAAGGAUUUGAGAGUCAAGAAUGCUAACCAGUUGCGAAGAUAAACGAAUAAAAAGAGUGAGUACCCAGAAUCUCAGUAGUGACAGCAACAGAACAUCAAAAAAUCCCAAAUCCUAAUGUGUCAGAGUUCACAGGAGCUUCAGUGAGCCCCAAGCAGUGCUCGCACCAGGGUGGUUAAUAGAGAAGAUUCUGAUGGCCUUGGCUUUCAGCCGGCCAAGAGCAAUAGAUUCAGAAUAGUAUCGAGUGAAUGAGAGUGUGAGAGAAUAACAGUGAUUAAGGUUCCUUAAAGGGGAUUAGGGGAGGGGUUUAUAUAGUGGUGGAAUCAAGCGAUUAAACAUGGAAAAUAAUUAGUCAAACACAAAAUAAGGAAAAAAAAUCACAUGCAGUUCGACAGAAAUCAAAGAUUGGCCAAGGAUUUUGGUAAAUCAGACCCAUACAACCCAGUGGUGAGUGCAUGUAGACGAAAUACCUCCUAAGUCUCGAAGAUUGAGGACGGUUGUUCAUAACCCAAGGCCUGGUAUUUGCCAAAAAUCGGCAAGCACUAGGUGAUGCUAAAAUCGUGCAAGUAGCAGAUGACAGAACGUAUAAGGUAAGUGAAUCAUGGAUUGAUUCCAUUUUGGGGUAGGAAUCGGAGAGAUUUAAGGGAGGCUGCUAUUAGGGUUUCAAAGAAGGGAGGAAGGUUCGAUAGAUUCAAGGGGUGGCGGAAUGAGCGAUUUGUCUCUAGGGUUUGGGGGGAGG